Long non-coding RNA from Jaculus jaculus (lesser Egyptian jerboa), 1010 nucleotides. RefSeq lists it as uncharacterized. The record is from RefSeq and is a predicted model, not a curated record. NCBI's taxonomy places the organism in Eukaryota, Metazoa, Chordata, Mammalia, Rodentia, Dipodidae. The transcript has 7 exons.
GCUCCGGUCCACGAUCUCGAACUCCUCGCCCGGGUCCGGCUCCGCAGAGAAGCCGUCCUCUCUUUCGGCCAUGUUGGCCGCGUCACGUGUCUGACGGGCGGGCGGCGCGUGCGCGCGCUUGAGCCUGGGGCGGUUUUACUCUUCGCUAGGAUUUCUCUUCUGCUCCUCUUGCUUUUCUUUCUUUAAAUAAUACCGGGAAGGGCUGAUGUUUUGCUUGCUGCAGUUUUUCUCUCUGGAUAUAUGGAAGCACUUUCUUCUGACACUGAUGGAACUUCCUCCCUGGAUCUGUAAGCUGGAAACAAACCCUUCCUUCCCUAAACUGUGCCUGAUUUGGAUGUUCAUCCAAGCAAUGUGGAGCUAAUCACAACACCAACAUUAUAUAAAUACAAGAUGGGAAUAAAAACUAAAAGCAUAAAAAUUUAAAUUGAGGCAGUUUGAAAACAUUACUACAGAGUCUCACUAUAGCCUAAGCUGAAUUCACCAUGGAGUUUCAGAGUGGCCUUGAACUCAUGCAAUCCUCCUGGGAUUAAAGCUUCCACAAAACAACACCUAUCUAGUCAAUAAAUAUUUGUUGACAAGAUGAACAGAACAGAAUAAUGCCCCCAAAGAAAGUUUUCUAGAGGGAAGAAGAGACAAAAUAUGUAGAUUUCAUGGAUUACUAGCAAGAGGAUCCCAACCUUAGAUGGUUUUGUGCAGUAACUGACGAUGUUUUAUGCUUACAGGAGGAGGAUGGUUACAAGGCCCCAAGAUAGACUUUAAUCCCAGCAGCCUGCGCAGGGCAUGGAAGAGACUCUAACUUUUAAUUCUUAGACUUGCUGCUGUGGCUUGCUAAGACCAAGACAUACUAUUGUCCCUACCAUAAGAACUGAUUCCAAUGGGCCUGUCAAUCACCUAGACAUAGUUUUAAGAAGCAAGGUAUCCUGAAGACAUGAUGAGAAGAUGACUGGAAUACUGGCUAUUGUAGUCAGGUUCAUGUUGCUGGCAGGAAACACCUGACCAAGAACAGCUUA